This 260-nucleotide ribosomal RNA is filed under the name uncultured bacterium. Its description in RNAcentral is "partial 16S ribosomal RNA". It matches the Rfam family "Bacterial small subunit ribosomal RNA", at positions 336 to 613 of the family's 1533-position model. The record is from RNAcentral.
CCCCUACGGGAGGCAGCAGUGGGGAAUAUUGCACAAUGGGGGGAACCCUGAUGCAGCGACGCCGCGUGAGUGAAGAAGUAUCUCGGUACGUAAAGCUCUAUCAGCAGGGAAGAAAAUGACGGUACCUGACUAAGAAGCCCCGGCUAACUACGUGCCAGCAGCCGCGGUAAUACGUAGGGGGCAAGCGUUAUCCGGAUUUACUGGGUGUAAAGGGAGCGUAGACGGCACUGCAAGUCCGGAGUGAAAGCCCAAGGCUUAAC